AUGCCCAUGAAGUACUUGUCCAUCGAGGGGGCACAGGAGGUGCUUGGUGACAAGGUGUGCGUCGACCGCCUCGAUAGCCGCACGCUGGAGCGCGGCCACACCAAGACCUCUGGGUGCUGGUUCUGGGUGUGGGACAUGGCGUUCAUCCUGACCAGGCACACCUACUGGAAGCUUCCCCAUGGCGCGGGACGCGUCGAGGAGAUGGACGGCUUCUCGCCGCCGGAUCGCCGGGUGGCUCCUCCUCCGGGCGCGACACGGUACGAUCUUCUCAUCCACGUCGACCACAUUGAAGACUGGUUGCCAAGGUCGCCGCGCUCCUCACACUCGGACCUGGACCAUGCACGUCGAGGAUGGGUUGCACGAAGAGCAUCACAAGUGGUAGGCCCGUGCCCUGGUGGCGGACAUGGGCUGCCAUGGCAUGCCCCUUGGCGGUCCCAGGCGCGACCACGACAACGACAGAGCGGGUAG
Molecule: ribosomal RNA, 468 nt
Filed under: Triticum aestivum (bread wheat)
Lineage: Eukaryota; Viridiplantae; Streptophyta; Magnoliopsida; Poales; Poaceae
Description: partial small subunit ribosomal RNA
Source: RNAcentral